Molecule: ribosomal RNA, 350 nt
Filed under: uncultured bacterium
Lineage: Bacteria
Description: bacterial SSU rRNA
Rfam family: Bacterial small subunit ribosomal RNA
Source: RNAcentral
UGGGGAAUAUUGCACAAUGGGGGAAACCCUGAUGCAGCCAUGCCGCGUGUGUGAAGAAGGCCUUCGGGUUGUAAAGCACUUUCAGUUGUGAGGAAAGUUUAGUAGUUAAUACCUGCUAGAUGUGACGUUAGCAACAGAAGAAGCACCGGCUAACUCCGUGCCAGCAGCCGCGGUAAUACGGAGGGUGCGAGCGUUAAUCGGAAUUACUGGGCGUAAAGCGCACGCAGGCGGUCUGUUAAGCUAGAUGUGAAAGCCCCGCGCUCAACGUGGGAGGGUCAUUUAGAACUGGCAGACUAGAGUCUUGGAGAGGGGAGUGGAAUUCCAGGUGUAGCGGUGAAAUGCGUAGAGAU